UGUCAAAGAAACAAUAACUGGAUCCUAUGA
Molecule: non-coding RNA, 30 nt
Filed under: Mus musculus (house mouse)
Lineage: Eukaryota; Metazoa; Chordata; Mammalia; Rodentia; Muridae
Also listed under: 1 other name
Source: RNAcentral